ACUGCACUCCAGCCUGGGCGACAGAACGAGACUCCGUCUCAAAAAAAAAAAAAGUUGAGUCGGGAUCUCUGAAGCUAAGCAGGGUCGGGCCUGGUUAGUACUUGGGAGACCGCCUGGGAACACCGGGUGCUGUU
This 134-nucleotide ribosomal RNA is filed under the name Pan paniscus (pygmy chimpanzee). Lineage: Eukaryota; Metazoa; Chordata; Mammalia; Primates; Hominidae. The record is from RNAcentral.